AGUGAACGCUGGCGGUAGGCCUAACACAUGCAAGUCGAACGGCAGCACAGUAAGAGCUUGCUCUUACGGGUGGCGAGUGGCGGACGGGUGAGGAAUACAUCGGAAUCUACUUUUUCGGGGGGGAUAACGUAGGGAAACUUACGCUAAUACCGCAUACGACCUACGGGGGAAAGCAGGGGAUCUUCUGACCUUGCGCGAUUGAAUGAGCCGAUGUCGGAUUAGCUAGUUGGCGGGGUAAAGGCCCACCAAGGCGACGAUCCGUGGCUGGUCUGAGAGGAUGGUCAGCCACACUGGAACUGAGCCACGGUCCAGACUCCUACGGGACGCCGCAGUGGGGAAUAUUGGACAAUGGGCGCAAGCCUGAUCCAGCCAUACCGCGUCGGUGAAGAAGGCCUUCGGGUUGUAAAGCCCUUUUGUUGGGAAAGAAAAGCAGCAGGUUAAUACGCCGCUGUUCUGACGGUACCCAAAGAAUAAGCACCGGCUAACUUCGUG
This 492-nucleotide ribosomal RNA is filed under the name uncultured bacterium. Its description in RNAcentral is "partial 16S ribosomal RNA". It matches the Rfam family "Bacterial small subunit ribosomal RNA", at positions 29 to 507 of the family's 1533-position model. The record is from RNAcentral.